RNAcentral lists this long non-coding RNA (358 nucleotides) under Brassica napus (rape). RNAcentral's name for it is "long non-coding RNA (BNAP_LNC000792)". Lineage: Eukaryota; Viridiplantae; Streptophyta; Magnoliopsida; Brassicales; Brassicaceae. The record is from RNAcentral.
AGAGGGAACAGAGGAAUGAAGCAGAGGAUCGAUGACGUGGCAGGAGACGUUGGUGAAACGCGUUUGAAAUAAGAGGAAACCUUUGGAGUGGAGUGGAGGCUUUGCAGUUAGAGCCGGAAACUGAAGAAGUGCUUUAUAUGCACAUUUGAAUUCAUUUCUAUCUUCUUAUGCUUUGAUGUUAAUUGUAUUUAACGAUAUGAGUCAGUACUUUACAGUCGCCAUGAGACUGAUGAUCUCUGCGAUUCUCGCCAUGAGAGUUUUGUAGAUUUCAUACUCAAAGCUGUAUUACAUUCUUAUUCAUUUCUAUAAAGAGUGUGAGAGAUUCGUAUAGUUGAGGUAGCUAAACUCUAUCACACGA